Molecule: ribosomal RNA, 651 nt
Filed under: Glutamicibacter arilaitensis
Lineage: Bacteria; Bacillati; Actinomycetota; Actinomycetes; Micrococcales; Micrococcaceae
Description: bacterial SSU rRNA
Rfam family: Bacterial small subunit ribosomal RNA
Source: RNAcentral
GUGGAUUAGUGGCGAACGGGUGAGUAACACGUGAGUAACCUGCCCCCGACUUUGGGAUAAGCCCGGGAAACUGGGUCUAAUACCGGAUAUGACUUCCUGCCGCAUGGUGGGUUGUUGAAAGAUUUAUCGGUGGGGGAUGGACUCGCGGCCUAUCAGCUUGUUGGUGAGGUAAUGGCUCACCAAGGCGACGACGGGUAGCCGGCCUGAGAGGGUGACCGGCCACACUGGGACUGAGACACGGCCCAGACUCCUACGGGAGGCAGCAGUGGGGAAUAUUGCACAAUGGGCGGAAGCCUGAUGCAGCGACGCCGCGUGAGGGAUGACGGCCUUCGGGUUGUAAACCUCUUUCAGUAGGGAAGAAGCGAAAGUGACGGUACCUGCAGAAGAAGCGCCGGCUAACUACGUGCCAGCAGCCGCGGUAAUACGUAGGGCGCAAGCGUUAUCCGGAUUUAUUGGGCGUAAAGAGCUCGUAGGCGGUUUGUCGCGUCUGCCGUGAAAGUCCGAGGCUCAACCUCGGAUCUGCGGUGGGUACGGGCAGACUAGAGUGAUGUAGGGGAGACUGGAAUUCCUGGUGUAGCGGUGAAAUGCGCAGAUAUCAGGAGGAACACCGAUGGCGAAGGCAGGUCUCUGGGCAUUUACUGACGCUGAGGA